Long non-coding RNA from Lemur catta (Ring-tailed lemur), 793 nucleotides. RefSeq lists it as uncharacterized. The transcript is spliced from 3 exons. NCBI's taxonomy places the organism in Eukaryota, Metazoa, Chordata, Mammalia, Primates, Lemuridae. The record is from RefSeq and is a predicted model, not a curated record.
GCCAGGCGUUCGAGACCAGCCUGAGCAAGAACAAGACCGCCGUCUCUACAAAAAAAGAAGAAGAAAAUGUCUGGCAUGAGAGUUUUCUGCCUGGUUCCUGUAAUCAUGGAGUUUGCAGCCCGGUUAGGCCUUACAGGAAAGAUCAAUGGCGAUGAAUAGAAAGAACAAGAACUGAAGCACAAAUACAAAGUAACUCAACAAAUGAAGUGAAACAAGGCCUUCGAGUGUGGACUGAAUUAUACCAUUGGGUUUCCUGGGUCUCCUGCUUGCAGACGGCAGAUUGUGGGACUUCUCAGAUUCCAGGCUCACAUGAGCUGAUUCUUCAUGCUAAAUCUCCACGUUUGUAUAUAAAUCUACUGGUUCUGUCUCUCUGGAGAACUCGGACUAAUGCAGGUAUCUAUUGGCAUUUGGGGGAGACCAAUUUUUCUUUGGGCAGGGCUGUUCUGUACGUUGCAAGGUGUUAAGCCUUCUUGGCCUUGUCUUGAAAUACUGAUAGCAUUCCUUAAUCAUUCAGAAAACACAUUUCCUUCCAUGACCCCAAAUUUCAAAAGUCCCCUGGAGAGCAGUUCUGCAUCUAGUUCAACCACUCCUAAGCUGUAGGGGAGAGAGUGUCCUUUGUUCUUUGUGUCACAGAAGAUGAGAUUAAUCCUGGCAGAGGUCAGGAGAUUGUUUUAGCCAAAGGUGGGACAAUGGAAUUAAUCAGAACCUUCAGAAGCUCUGUACUUUUGCUCAGAGGACAUUGGUACUUUGAGAUGGGAGUCUGCUGGCCUCCUCAUUUGCCAGCAAAUUAAUA